CAUGAUUAUGAUGUUUGAGUUUAUUGUUAUAAGUUUCUACAAUAAUUUUCUUUUAUCAUGCUCUUUGAAUAUAUUUCAUGCUAAUUUAGGUUGCUUGUGAGUUUGUUCUCACACUAAGGGAUGCCUUUUAAUCUUGUGAUUAUCAGGUGACAUCAUAAGGAAAAUGCUUACAUUUUGUGGGUAGUACCUUGUAAAUUUAAGACUUUUCCCAUUUGAUUUAAUAAAUUGUCAGGUGAUUUUGACUGU
This 246-nucleotide long non-coding RNA is filed under the name Trifolium pratense (red clover). RNAcentral's name for it is "long non-coding RNA (TPRA_LNC006845)". Lineage: Eukaryota; Viridiplantae; Streptophyta; Magnoliopsida; Fabales; Fabaceae. The record is from RNAcentral.